RNAcentral lists this transfer RNA (74 nucleotides) under Podarcis lilfordi (Lilford's wall lizard). It matches the Rfam family "tRNA". Rfam says of the family: Transfer RNA (tRNA) molecules are approximately 80 nucleotides in length. Their secondary structure includes four short double-helical elements and three loops (D, anti-codon, and T loops). Further hydrogen bonds mediate the characteristic L-shaped molecular structure. tRNAs have two regions of fundamental functional importance: the anti-codon, which is responsible for specific mRNA codon recognition, and the 3' end, to which the tRNAs corresponding amino acid is attached (by aminoacyl-tRNA synthetases). tRNAs cope with the degeneracy of the genetic code in two manners: having more than one tRNA (with a specific anti-codon) for a particular amino acid; and 'wobble' base-pairing, i.e. permitting non-standard base-pairing at the 3rd anti-codon position. The record is from Rfam by way of RNAcentral. Lineage: Eukaryota; Metazoa; Chordata; Lepidosauria; Squamata; Lacertidae.
GUCUCUGUGGCGCAAUCAGUUAGCAUGUCUGGCUGUUAACCAGAAGGUUGGUGGUUCAAGCCCACCCAAGGACA